GACGAACGCUGGCGGCGUGCUUAACACAUGCAAGUCGAACGGUAAGGCCCUUCGGGGUACACGAGUGGCGAACGGGUGAGUAACACGUGGGUGAUCUGCCCUGCACUUCGGGAUAAGCCUGGGAAACUGGGUCUAAUAACGGCUAGGACUCCCGGCUUCAUGGGUGGGGGUGGAAAGCUUUUGCGGUGUGGAAUGGGCCCGCGGCCUAACAGCUUGUUGGUGGGGUAAUGGCCUACCAAGGCGGCGACGGGUAGCCGGCCUGUGAGGGUGACCGGUCACACUGGGACUGAGAUACGGCCCAGACUCCUACGGGAGGCAGCAGUGGGGAAUAUUGCACAAUGGGCGCAAGCCUGAUGCAGCGACGCCGCGUGAGGGAUGACGGCCUUCGGGUUGUAAACCUCUUUCAGCUAUGACGAAGCGCAAGUGACGGUAGUAGCAGAAGAAGGACCGGCCAACUACGUGCCAGCCGCCGCCGUAA
This 478-nucleotide ribosomal RNA is filed under the name uncultured bacterium. RNAcentral's name for it is "partial 16S ribosomal RNA". It matches the Rfam family "Bacterial small subunit ribosomal RNA", at positions 28 to 523 of the family's 1533-position model. The record is from RNAcentral.